This 1400-nucleotide ribosomal RNA is filed under the name uncultured organism. RNAcentral's name for it is "bacterial SSU rRNA". It matches the Rfam family "Bacterial small subunit ribosomal RNA", at positions 42 to 1410 of the family's 1533-position model. The record is from RNAcentral.
GCGUGGCUAAAGCAUGCAAGUCGUACGCGAAAGUCCUUCGGGAACGAGUAGAGUGGCGAAAGGGCGAGGAAUACAUGGGUAACAUACCCCCGGCACAGGGAUAGCCGCGGGAAACCGCGGGUAAUACCUGAUAUGACCACGGCAUCUUAUGAUGCAGCGGUAAAAGGGUGGGGACCUUCGGGCCUACCGGCCAGGGAGUGGCCCAUGUCCUAUCAGCUUGUUGGUGAGGUAACGGCUCACCAAGGCGACGACGGGUACCGGGGCUGAGAGGCUGAUCCGGCGCAUUGGGACUGAGACACUGCCCAGACUCCUACGGGAGGCUGCAGCGACGAAUAUUGCACAAUGGGCGCAAGCCUGAUGCAGCGACGCCGCGUGUGGGAGGAAGCCCCUCGGGGUGUAAACCACUGUCAGGGACCACCAAGCGACCCGGGCGAAUAGUCCGGGAAGUUGAGGAAUCCCAGAGGAAGUCACGGCUAACUUCGUGCCAGCAGCCGCGGUAAGACGAAGGUGGCAAGCGUUGUUCGGAAUCACUGGGCUUAAAGAGCACGUAGGCGGAUUGUCAAGCACUUUGUGAAAUCCCUCGGCUUAACCGAGGAAUUGCUUGGUGAACUGGCAGUCUUGAGGCAGGUAGAGGCACACGGAACUCUUGGUGGAGCGGUGGAAUGCGUAGAUAUCAAGAGGAACGCCAGAGGCGAAAGCGGUGUGCUGGGCCUGACCUGACGCUGAGGUGCGAAAGCCAGGGGAGCAAACGGGAUUAGAUACCCCGGUAGUCCUGGCCAUAAACGAUGUCCACUAGGCCUGACGUGUUCUGACACACUUCCGGCCGAAACAAAAGCGUUAAGUGGACCGCCUGGGGAGUACGGUCGCAAGGCUAAAACUUCAACGAAUUGACGGGGGCUCACACAAAGCGUGGAGCAUGUUGCUUAAUUCGAUGCCACGCGAAGAACCUUAUCCUGGGCUUGACCUGUAGGAAUACCUCCCUGGGAAACCGGGUGGGUUGCCCUUCGGGGUGAAGCCUUACACAGGUGCUGCAUUGGCUGUCGUCAGCUCGUGUCGGGAGAUGUUGGGUUAAGUCCCGUUAACGAUCGUAACCCUUGUCGUUAGUUGCCAGCGCGUUAUGUCGGGGACUCUAACGAGGCUGCCGUUGUUAAACCGGAGGAAGUUGGGGAUGACGUCAAGUCCUCAUGGCCUUUAUGCCCAGGGCUGCAAACGUGCUACAAUGGCUUGUACAAACCGACGCAAGACCGCGAGGUGGAGCAAAUCGGUAUAAGCACGCCCCAGUUCGGAUUGGAGUCUGCAACUCGACUCCAUGAAGUCGGAAUCGCUAGUAAUCGCAGAUCAGCAUGCUGCGGUGAAUAUGUUCCUGAGCCUUGUACACACCGCCCGUCAAGUCAUGGAAG